CCGGGGCAAGCUAGGGGUGGGAUGGAAGUCGAGAGUCGAUCCCAGAGCCCGGCCGCGGGGAGAGGUUCUCGGCAGAGAAGACAAAGCCCGCAGCAGCGAUGGGGGGAGAGCUGGGCUCUGCGCGUUGUGGGGGCCAGGAAAGGGUGCCAGGCUGGGGCUGGAACCCCCUGGCAAAGGAUGGGGUCCCCUCAUCCCUAAACAGCAAGCCAUCUCCCCUCGCCCGCCCCCCGCCCCCCCAGUCUCGGAGAUCUCAGAGGCACCGACUGGGAGUCCGCUUGCCCCUGGCUUCUGGCAUCCAACACAUGGGGGACAAUGAUGCUACCAGUCGUUUCCUGACUCGGGCCGAACACCCAGUACACUGGAAUCUCUUUGAGAACAGGGACUGGAUCUAGUCUACUCCUGUAUUCUCAGCACCCAGCACAAAGUAGGUGCUUAAUAAAUGUUUGCUGUUCGGAAA
Molecule: small RNA, 457 nt
Filed under: Pongo abelii (Sumatran orangutan)
Lineage: Eukaryota; Metazoa; Chordata; Mammalia; Primates; Hominidae
Description: processed transcript
Source: RNAcentral